CCGCGGCUCCGAAACAACGGCCCGGGCGCUGCGGGCUCUGCUCUCUGCUGGGCUGGCAGGCGGCAGUCGCCCCACGCCGGGGUCCUGCGCAGCGGCGCAGCGAGGACGGCGCGCCCGGCUGGGAGCGGCGCGGGUCCGAGGGCGACGCCUGAGUCCGGCAUCCGGGCCGCCCGCACCUCUCCGUCCGCGGAGCCCCCGAGCGCUCGGCUCAGCUGCCUGCGGCCCCAGGUGAGUACGUGGUGCGAGGGGUCCACGCGGGCCGGGUCGGGCCUUGGCCUCCGGCUGCACAAGCAUCGCGGGCUGCGGGCCCCGAGCAGGCGGAGGAGUGCGGGCGGGCGAGCUCUGCUGCCCAGAGCGCCCACACUCGAGGUGCGGCGGAGGGGCCGGGCCGGGCACCGGCAGGGUGGCCCCAGCCCGGGGACCUGGUGGGGUGAGCGCGGGUUCCUCACUGGCGCGUGAUUGGAUUCGAAGAAUGAACUGGAAGGAAACGGAGGAGCUGCCCUGGCGGGGUUGCUGCCUUCCAAGGUCCCGCCGGAUGAGGAGCUGUCAGGGGACACCUGAGUCCGGAGUCGGGGCGGGGUGGGGGGCUCCCUGCCGCUCCGGGUGGGGCUACUAGCAGUGUCCACCGUCCUCUUUGUUGUGCAACGAAAUCGGUAUCGGCAACCCCAGGUCUUCCACUCGGAACCCUGCGCCUUGUCGUUGAAAGGCGGCCAGAGCGAGCAGACCCUGGAGCCCGGGUCCUCGCAGAGAGGCGCCCGACUGGGAGGCAGCAGCGCCUGGCUGCGCUGAGGGAAGGCCUGGUGCACUGCAGUGGCGGCGGUGCCUGGGCCUUGCACCUUUGGGCCUCUGCAGCUUGCCGGAGUGCUUGCCGAGAUUCCAGCCCCUCUGCCGUCCCCAGAGCUCCAGGGCCGGGUCUGCAGCACGCUGACUUUGGAAGCCAGGACUUGCUGCGGACUGUUGCUUCUGCUCUUUUCUGCCCUCGAGUUGGAGGCUGCAGACUGGACCCCUUUUCCUCUCCCAUGGGUCCAGGCGGGACCAGCUCCCAGAGCGCGGGGAGCUCAGAGGAGGCUCCGAGCUGCCUGCCUGCGGCAUCCUGCACGGAGCAGUCAACGGAAUCCGUUUCCCACACUUUCCCUCUCCGUCCCAGGACUGUUAAAUAUUCGCCAACAAAUCCUGUCGUUGCGCUGGCACUGCGUGUGCUCUCCUGCCACAGGCUCGCUCCACGCCCCACCGUGUCCAGCUGGGGAGACCCUUGCCUGGUCUCCGUCCGCCCGUGUCACUGUCACGGGGCACCGAGGAACUCCACAGGCCACAGCGCCCUGUGUGCACCUGGCUCGGAGGCCCACAGCCGCGCCACCGGAUGGCUGCCCUCCUAGAUGCACCCACUGCCUCCCCUUCCUGCGCCCCGCUCGGGCAAGGCCCUGACAGCAACGAAAACUGGGAGCAGAAGCGCUGGCUCGCACGGCCAGGCAGCCUGGACCGAGGAGCCACAGGGUGGGAGCAGACUCCAAAUCAGCGCCCGCGGAAUCCACAUCUCCUGUUGGGCUCUGGACCAUGAACUGCGUCCCGCACCGCGCCUGGCACAGAGGCCCCCAACCAGGGAAGGGACACAUCCGCCUCUAACCUGACAGGGUCUCUAAGUCACUAAAUUCCCCAGGCUGUGUUCAAAGGGAAUCCUCCUGCCUCAGCCUUCUAGCAUGCUGAGAUUACAGAGCUCUGACACCUGGCCCGAGCCAGCCAGUGAGUGCAGAGCCCCUGGAGUGGUGUCCUAGGAGCUCCUGGAAGACCAGAGGACUGAGGCUGAGCCCCCUGCCUGUCUAUCCCAGCUCCCACGUGGCAUUCAGCAAGUGGGUGCCAGCAGCAUGUGACCGGAACAUUGAAGGGAACCAGCCACCAGAGCCCUGCUGUGACAGCACAGGGAUUUAGGAAGGAAAUGGACUUGCUGCGGGGCCCUCCAUGCACAGGACAUGGGGUUCGGUGGAGAGCCCUCAAGCUCUGUGAAAUCUGUUCUGGAGGGUUCAGGCUCCCUGAAACCUGGGCACUGCUGGGCCCUGCAGGGCCUGGGUGUCGCCUGGCUCCCUCCCACCCCUGGAUCUCAACAUUGUGCCCCGUGAAGCUCACAGUGACCCCUGUGGCAGGUGCUGAGAGGGUUCCACUGAGGCUCAGGGGCACGAGCCUAUCAGGCACAGGGACCUGUCUCAGGCAGCCACAGCAGGACUCACAUGAGGCACUGCCGACACACCUUUAUCCCAGGGUAUUGGCUUUCAGGGUGACAGAGGUGUGACCAGGGAGGGAGCCCUGGCCUAGGGUUUCCUUGCAGCCCCCCCCCCCUUGCCCCAUGAGGUCAGAGGUGGUGCUGGCCUCUUGGUCACCUGCGUGCAUGCCUGGGCCCAGGAGGGUUAGGCCAUGCGGGGUCCGUGCUUCCUGAACCCACCUCUUGCUGGGGAGCCCCCCUUGCCCACACCCUGAGGCACUGAGCCGGGGCUGCCUGGGUCCGAUGGGGCCCACACCUCAGCCAGCGGCCUUGGGCUCGCUUGGGGACUAACACACGGAGCAGGUCACGCUCGGUCUCUGCACCUCUAAUGAGGUAUUUCCAAUCAUGAAGGUGCGUUUGAAGAAAUAGGAAUCCGUUAAGUGUGCGGGAGCCAGGCCCGCGUGGAACCUGGUGGUUCUAACGAGUGCCAGCGCCAGCUUCCACAUUGGAGAAAUAACAGUUUCUCAUAGAAAUGUGGCAUUUUUAAAGGAGGUUAAUUAAUAAACAGCAGGUAAUUGUUCGUGGCACAUUGUGGCAGAGGGUAAUUUUCAUUUUAGAGGAUGGAAGGGCCAAAUGCCCCUCCCCACUCAGCAUUUUUCUGUAAUAAUCACCUUGGCUUCCCCUCCGCCUUUAAUUUUUACAGCUGGAGCUGUUUAUCAUCACUCCAACUUUCACUAAAAAGGCAAAACUAUCACUUAAACAAAGCCAUUGAAAACUCAGCAUCAUCUGUGGAUUUCUUAACAUAAAUAAAUCAUACAAACCAAGAUUUAUGUUCUGGGGAUGAUGUCAUUCAUUGAAGGCUGCCUUCCCAAUCAAAUCAGCGUUGUGUGAUUUCCCCUUGUGUGUGUGAUUUCUGCUAAGUAAGAACAACUCG
RNAcentral lists this long non-coding RNA (3128 nucleotides) under Heterocephalus glaber (naked mole-rat). Its description in RNAcentral is "lncRNA (ENSHGLG00100033121.1)". The record is from RNAcentral. Lineage: Eukaryota; Metazoa; Chordata; Mammalia; Rodentia; Bathyergidae.